UAUGGUGAUAUAACAUUGACACGAAGAAGGAGGAUAGGUAGAUACCUGCCUUUUUAUAUUUAAGUAAGUACCUAUUUUAUAAUUAUAGUUUAGACGAUUCGUACACGACACUGUGCAAGCGGUCAGUAAGGUUGCUUUAAGGUGGUUAUCACACGAUGCGGUCUCGGUCGCUUCCGGCCAAGUAGU
Long non-coding RNA from Pectinophora gossypiella (pink bollworm), 186 nucleotides. RefSeq lists it as uncharacterized. Lineage: Eukaryota; Metazoa; Arthropoda; Insecta; Lepidoptera; Gelechiidae. The transcript is spliced from 2 exons. The record is from RefSeq and is a predicted model, not a curated record.